UUUACAAUAGCUUAAUGGGAAAGCAUUUGGUUGUUAACCAAAAAUUUAUCAGUUCGACCCUGGUUUGUAGAG
RNAcentral lists this transfer RNA (72 nucleotides) under Topsentia ophiraphidites. RNAcentral describes it as "tRNA-Asn". It matches the Rfam family "tRNA". Rfam says of the family: Transfer RNA (tRNA) molecules are approximately 80 nucleotides in length. The record is from RNAcentral. Lineage: Eukaryota; Metazoa; Porifera; Demospongiae; Suberitida; Halichondriidae.